CAGGUAGGUGGUUUAGAAAGUCUACUGUGAAAUCCCCGGGCUUAACCUGGGAACUGCGGUGGAAACUACUUAAACUAGAGUGCUAGAGGGGUUCGUGGAAUACUCGGUGUAGCGGUGAAAUGCGUAGAUAUCGAGUGGAAUAUCAGAGGCGAAGGCGACGAACUGGAUAGUAACUGACACUCAACUGCGAAAGCGUGGGGAGCAAACAGGAUUAGAUACCCUGGUAGUCCACGCUGUAAACGAUGGAUACUAGACGUGGUGGGUCUUGACCCCUGCCGUGUCGAAGCUAACGCGAUAAGUAUCCCGCCUGGGAAGUACGGUCGCAAGACUAAA
Molecule: ribosomal RNA, 333 nt
Filed under: uncultured bacterium
Lineage: Bacteria
Description: bacterial SSU rRNA
Rfam family: Bacterial small subunit ribosomal RNA
Source: RNAcentral